CCUACGGGAGGCAGCAGUGGGGAAUUUUGGACAAUGGGGGCAACCCUGAUCCAGCCAUGCCGCGUGCGGGAAGAAGGCCUUCGGGUUGUAAACCGCUUUUAGUCGGGAAGAAAAGGCCUGGGCGAAUACCCUGGGUUUUUGACGGUACCGGCGGAAUAAGCACCGGCUAACUACGUGCCAGCAGCCGCGGUAAUACGUAGGGUGCGAGCGUUAAUCGGAAUUACUGGGCGUAAAGCGUGCGCAGGCGGUUCGCUGUGUCCGAUGCGAAAGCCCCGGGCUUAACCUGGGAAUGGCAUUGGAAACUGGCGGGCUUGAGUGUGGCAGAGGGGGGUGGAAUUCCGCGUGUAGCAGUGAAAUGCGUAGAGAUGCGGAGGAACACCGAUGGCGAAGGCAGCCCCCUGGGCUAACACUGACGCUCAGGCACGAAAGCGUGGGGAGCAAACAGGAUUAGAUACCCUGGUAGUCCACGCCCUAAACCAUGUCAACUGGGUGUUCGGGAAGCGAUUCCUGAGUACCGUAGCUAACGCGUGAAGUUGACCGCCUGGGGAGUACGGCCGCAAGGUUAAAACUCAAAGGAAUUGACGG
This 585-nucleotide ribosomal RNA is filed under the name uncultured bacterium. Its description in RNAcentral is "bacterial SSU rRNA". It matches the Rfam family "Bacterial small subunit ribosomal RNA", at positions 338 to 916 of the family's 1533-position model. The record is from RNAcentral.